Molecule: unclassified non-coding RNA, 233 nt
Filed under: uncultured Ascomycota
Lineage: Eukaryota; Fungi; Ascomycota
Description: sequence contains ITS1
Source: RNAcentral
CAGUGCUCGUCGGGACGUCGCGCCCCCUUCAGGCGUGGGCGUCUCGCACCUGCCCAACCGUGUCUACCGUUUCCCUUGUUGCCUCGGCGGGACUGCCGGGCAGGAGGCUGCCUCAUCGUAGGCAGGGCUCCUGCGCGUGGCAGCACGCGUCACCCGGCCAGCGCCCGCCAGAGGGACCCUUCUGAAUCCUGUGAAAUCUAGUGUUGUCUGAGUUGCCUAGUGAAAUACAGUUA